Molecule: small RNA, 166 nt
Filed under: human gut metagenome
Description: Bacteroidales-1 6S-Bacteroidales RNA suggested
Rfam family: Bacteroidales-1 6S-Bacteroidales RNA suggested
Source: RNAcentral
GUUGAUUGGGAAACUCAUCAAACAUAUAUGAAAUGCCGAGACAAUCGUACAGUACAAUGGCGGGCCCCAUCCCUCUCCGUAGGGAGCAUCCCGCGGGAUGCCAGGCGGAUUACAAAGGACUGCGCGAUCUCAAAUCCUGUCAUUCGGAGUUUCAUCGCAUCCUUUG